AACACAGUGUCUCUGCCAAACCCCUCAUGACAAGAUGAAAUCGCUGCCGCGAACACCUUAAUAUAUGUAGGUGACAUUUCCACGUGGAUGACAGCACAUAAUCAGCAAGACGGAGAUGCUCUUCAUCCGAGGUAAUGCCUGCCCAUUCUCAGAUGUGAGAAAGAAAUAGCACUCACUCUCCUCCAAAACACUGAUGACCUGAGCCAACUGUGCCACUUCUGUGGGGAGGUGGACAAUAAUGAGGAAGACACUAACUGGGUAAUUGCUUGUUCACUUCCAAAGGCGCAUUUUUCGGAGUACGAAUUUGUAU
RNAcentral lists this long non-coding RNA (310 nucleotides) under Salmo salar (Atlantic salmon). RNAcentral describes it as "lncRNA (ENSSSAG00000110167.1, ENSSSAG00020063972.1)". The record is from RNAcentral. Lineage: Eukaryota; Metazoa; Chordata; Actinopteri; Salmoniformes; Salmonidae.